RNAcentral lists this long non-coding RNA (645 nucleotides) under Ananas comosus (pineapple). Its description in RNAcentral is "long non-coding RNA (ACOM_LNC012369)". The record is from RNAcentral. Lineage: Eukaryota; Viridiplantae; Streptophyta; Magnoliopsida; Poales; Bromeliaceae.
UUCUGCAAUUGCCAUCCAAGUUGUUCUGCAAUGUAAAAACUUUCUUGAUAUUUAAUUAUAACUGUUUCAUUUUGUCAUCAUCGCCGAUUACAAAAAAAAAUAGUUAAAUAAAUAUAUUUUUUUAAAAAGUUAAUACAAAAAUAAUUGAAAGCAUAAAGUUAAUAUUUAAAUAAUCAAAACUUAGUUGAAUGUGCGUAGAAAAUAUUUAAAUAAAUAAAAAAUAUUAAAAUAAUUUUGGAGUACAUAAUAAAAAAUAAAUGAAACAGAUGGAAGUAGAAGUGAUACUAUAUAAAGAUUAAGACCAGCAAAAGUUGGUUGAACAGCAGCCGCAUGACCUAUGUAGCAUAUAGAUGCAGGAAAAGAAACAUAUACUAGAAGAAUAUAUAGAAGAAAGAUAAAGGAAAAUUCCUACUGUAUUUUUGAUUUCUUUCAUUUCUUUUCUGUCGCUCUUCUUCUGAUAUAAAUUAUACGUAAUCUUCUCUUUUGUAGGUACUCUAAUAGAUUUUUUUCAUAAUUUUUUAAAAAAUCAUAAAAAAGGCUACUUGGGUUACAAAAGGACAAUGUUACUUCACUAAAAGUGGUUGAUUUAAACAAAAGAGGUUGUUAGAUAAUGGAUAAACUACAGAGUGAAUGAAAUCCUUUGUC